UCUGUUCUUCGCAUUUCCCGAUUUCCUCCAUUCGGCCCGAUCACCUUCCUCCCCGAUUCAUCUCCACCGACGGCGAUCUUCCCCUUCGAGCGCCUCAUCAACGCCAAGCAAUCUUGGCUACUUGGCGGUCCGAUCUUCUCCUCUUCGUCCUGCACUCUCUCUCGUUCUCACCUCACCCGAUGCUGCAUACAUAUGCCUCUCGUCGUGCCCUAGAUCGUCGGAAAUAACAUGCGAGCCAGCGAUAGGGCACGAUAGCUGUGGCUGCCCGAUCUUCGUCGCAGAGCUAAGGCAGUUGUCAUCGGGGAGGUUCAGCGCUUUUUUUUCUCUUCUCGAGAUUCCGAUUCUUUUUCUUUGCCGGCAUAGAUCAGUUGCCGAUCCAUGGUGUGCAAUGGACUGCCGACAUAGAAAUAGAGUAAGGGUUCCGAUGAUCCAGUAGCGGCAGUGAACCUCUCUGGUCGUGUUUCCCCAGCUGCCACCUUGGAUUUGGCUUCGAUGGUACUGUUCGCCAGGGAUCCAGAGCUCCGACCAUCUUCUUCGAUUGUGCACCGUAUCUAGCUGUGAGCCACAAGGGACCACUGCAUAUCUUGGACUUGGAGUCGGGACGGGCGUCUUGACGCGGGAUUACUUAGCACAAUCUACGUUUUAAGGCGGGUAGCUUGUAAAUGGUUGGUGUCGCUCGGAGUAUCCUGUCUGCCGGGU
Molecule: long non-coding RNA, 699 nt
Organism: Zingiber officinale
Lineage: Eukaryota; Viridiplantae; Streptophyta; Magnoliopsida; Zingiberales; Zingiberaceae
Exons: 6
Source: RefSeq, a predicted model, not a curated record